GGCGAACGCUGGCGGCGUGCUUAACACAUGCAAGUCGAACGGAAAGGCCCUGCUUUUGUGGGGUGCUCGAGUGGCGAACGGGUGAGUAACACGUGAGUAACCUGCCCUUGACUUUGGGAUAACUUCAGGAAACUGGGGCUAAUACCGGAUAGGAGCUCCUGCUGCAUGGUGGGGGUUGGAAAGUUUCGGCGGUUGGGGAUGGACUCGCGGCUUAUCAGCUUGUUGGUGGGGUAGUGGCUUACCAAGGCUUUGACGGGUAGCCGGCCUGAGAGGGUGACCGGCCACAUUGGGGCUGAGAUACGGCCCAGACCCCUACGGGAGGCAGCAGUGGGGAAUAUUGCACAAUGGGCGGAAGCCUGAUGCAGCAACGCCGCGUGCGGGAUGACGGCCUUCGGGUUGUAAACCGCUUUCGCCUGUGACGAAGCGUGAGUGACGGUAAUGGGUAAAGAAGCACCGGCUAACUACGUG
Molecule: ribosomal RNA, 468 nt
Filed under: uncultured bacterium
Lineage: Bacteria
Description: partial 16S ribosomal RNA
Rfam family: Bacterial small subunit ribosomal RNA
Source: RNAcentral